RNAcentral lists this transfer RNA (84 nucleotides) under Camillea tinctor. Its description in RNAcentral is "tRNA-Glu". It matches the Rfam family "tRNA". Rfam says of the family: Transfer RNA (tRNA) molecules are approximately 80 nucleotides in length. Their secondary structure includes four short double-helical elements and three loops (D, anti-codon, and T loops). Further hydrogen bonds mediate the characteristic L-shaped molecular structure. tRNAs have two regions of fundamental functional importance: the anti-codon, which is responsible for specific mRNA codon recognition, and the 3' end, to which the tRNAs corresponding amino acid is attached (by aminoacyl-tRNA synthetases). tRNAs cope with the degeneracy of the genetic code in two manners: having more than one tRNA (with a specific anti-codon) for a particular amino acid; and 'wobble' base-pairing, i.e. permitting non-standard base-pairing at the 3rd anti-codon position. The record is from RNAcentral. Lineage: Eukaryota; Fungi; Ascomycota; Sordariomycetes; Xylariales; Graphostromataceae.
UUCGAAUUGGUGUAGUGGCCAACAUUUGACGCUUUCAUACUUGUAUGAACCGUCAAGCCCGGGGUUCGAUUCCCCGAUUCGAAG